Molecule: ribosomal RNA, 121 nt
Filed under: Colletotrichum fructicola Nara gc5
Lineage: Eukaryota; Fungi; Ascomycota; Sordariomycetes; Glomerellales; Glomerellaceae
Source: RNAcentral
ACGACCAUACCCAUCCCAUCGGAAAACUCGGGAUCCCGUCCGCUCUCCCAUAGAUAAGCCAAUGAGGGCUGGAGUAGUAGUCGGGUCGGUGACGACCGGCGAAUGCCCGGUGUUGUAUGUU